AUUGAACGCUGGCGGCAUGCUUUACACAUGCAAGUCGAACGGCAGCGCGGGCUUCGGCCUGGCGGCGAGUGGCGAACGGGUGAGUAAUGCAUCGGAACGUGCCCAGUAGUGGGGGAUAGCCCGGCGAAAGCCGGAUUAAUACCGCAUACGACCUGAGGGUGAAAGCGGGGGACCGAAAGGCCUCGCGCUAUUGGAGCGGCCGAUGUCGGAUUAGCUAGUUGGUGGGGUAAAGGCUUACCAAGGCGACGAUCCGUAGCUGGUCUGAGAGGACGACCAGCCACACUGGGACUGAGACACGGCCCAGACUCCUACGGGAGGCAGCAGUGGGGAAUUUUGGACAAUGGGGGCAACCCUGAUCUAGCCAUGCCGCGUGCGGGAAGAAGGCCUUCGGGUUGUAAACCGCUUUUGUUCGGGAAGAAAUCCUCUGGGCUAAUACCCCGGGGGGAUGACGGUACCGGAAGAAUAAGCACCGGCUAACUACGUG
Molecule: ribosomal RNA, 484 nt
Filed under: uncultured bacterium
Lineage: Bacteria
Description: partial 16S ribosomal RNA
Rfam family: Bacterial small subunit ribosomal RNA
Source: RNAcentral